GACGAACGCUGGCGGCGUGCUUAACACAUGCAAGUCGAACGGGCCUGUCUUCUUUUUUGGGGGGUGGGUUGAGUGGCGAACGGGUGAGUAUCACGUGAGUAACCUGCCCUUCGGUCCUGGAUAACCGCUUGAAAGGGCGGCUAAUACGGGGUGGUCCGGUUGGUCCGCAUGGGCUGGUCGGGAUAGAUUCACUGUUUUUGGUGUUUCGGCGGGGGAUGGGCUCGCGGCCUAUCAGCUUGUUGGUGGGGUGAUGGCCUACCAAGGCGGUGACGGGUAGCCGGCCUGAGAGGGUGGGCGGCCACACUGGGACUGAGAUACGGCCCAGACUCCUGCGGGAGGCAGCAGUGGGGGGUAUUGCACAAUGGGCGGAAGCCUGAUGCAGCGACGUCGCGUGAGGGAUGGAGGCCUUCGGGUUGUGAACCUCUGUUUCCGGUGGUGAAGGCCCUGUCCGUGUGGUGGGGUUGACGGUAGCCGGGGAUGAAGCGCCGGCUAACAACGUG
This 500-nucleotide ribosomal RNA is filed under the name uncultured bacterium. RNAcentral's name for it is "partial 16S ribosomal RNA". It matches the Rfam family "Bacterial small subunit ribosomal RNA", at positions 28 to 507 of the family's 1533-position model. The record is from RNAcentral.